RNAcentral lists this ribosomal RNA (624 nucleotides) under uncultured bacterium. RNAcentral's name for it is "bacterial SSU rRNA". The stretch from base 1 to 540 matches the Rfam family "Bacterial small subunit ribosomal RNA", at positions 338 to 873 of the family's 1533-position model. The record is from RNAcentral.
CCUACGGGAGGCAGCAGUGGGGAAUUUUGGACAAUGGGCGCAAGCCUGAUCCAGCAAUGCCGCGUGAGUGAAGAAGGCCUUCGGGUUGUAAAGCUCUUUUGUCAGGGAAGAAACGGUGGAGGUUAAUACCUUCUGCUAAUGACGGUACCUGAAGAAUAAGCACCGGCUAACUACGUGCCAGCAGCCGCGGUAAUACGUAGGGUGCAAGCGUUAAUCGGAAUUACUGGGCGUAAAGCGUGCGCAGGCGGUUGUGCAAGACAGAUGUGAAAUCCCCGGGCUCAACCUGGGGAUUGCAUUUGUGACUGUACGGCUAGAGUGUGUCAGAGGGGGGUAGAAUUCCACGUGUAGCAGUGAAAUGCGUAGAGAUGUGGAGGAAUACCGAUGGCGAAGGCAGCCCCCUGGGAUAACACUGACGCUCAUGCACGAAAGCGUGGGGAGCAAACAGGAUUAGAUACCCUGGUAGUCCACGCCCUAAACGAUGUCUACUAGUUGUCGGGUUCUUUAUGACUUGGUAACGCAGCUACGCGUGAGUAGACCGCCGUCGGGAGGUACGGUCGCGAGAGUAAACUACGAAUAGAGUUAGUAGGCGUGAGACGAGCCGACGGACGACGACGAGGGAGGAGG